RNAcentral lists this ribosomal RNA (253 nucleotides) under uncultured bacterium. RNAcentral describes it as "partial 16S ribosomal RNA". It matches the Rfam family "Bacterial small subunit ribosomal RNA", at positions 524 to 776 of the family's 1533-position model. The record is from RNAcentral.
UACGAAGGGUGCAAGCAUUACUCGGAAUUACUGGGCGUAAAGCGUGCGUAGGUGGUGAGUUAAGUCUGUCGUGAAAGCCCCGGGCUCAACCUGGGAAUGGCGAUGGAUACUGGCUCGCUAGAGUGCGGUAGAGGAGAGUGGAAUUCCCGGUGUAGCAGUGAAAUGCGUAGAGAUCGGGAGGAACAUCAGUUGCGAAGGCGGCUCUCUGGACCAGCACUGACACUGAGGCACGAAAGCGUGGGGAGCAAACAGG